RNAcentral lists this long non-coding RNA (814 nucleotides) under Cyanistes caeruleus (blue tit). Its description in RNAcentral is "lncRNA (ENSCCEG00000002683.1)". The record is from RNAcentral. Lineage: Eukaryota; Metazoa; Chordata; Aves; Passeriformes; Paridae.
CUGCCACCGGCCCGCAGCCCCAGCGCGCCCUGCCUGACCUGGCCGAGCCCUGCCGGGGCCAGCUCACUCUGUCACAAAGGCUCGGACGCCUCUGACGGCGAGCAGCAAAGCUUGUGCUGGUUGAGCAGCAAAGCCUGUGCUGGCUGAGCACUCGCGCCCCGCCGGUUUCAGCCCUGCGGAGGCUGCGGCAGCCGCGGUGCGCUGAGCCAGAAGCGCCGGGAACACGCCCCGGGGCUGACACCGCACUCGCAGUGAGGUGGAUCAUCCUGCCGGCUUUUACAGCUCCCUUCUCUCCUGGCACAGCCAGAAUGUUAGUCUAAGAGAUCUGGUGAAGCCUCUCCAUUUUGUCCAGAUGUAUCUUGUGGCCCAGAAAGAGUGUUUUCUCUGCCCACACACAUUAUCUUCCCCCAGCUCUAUCAAAAGGCAAAUAAACUUAUAUGUGUGAAGAAUCCCAAGAAAAUGUCUUAGAGAUGUGUGAGUUUUCUGAGUAACACCAGUGAAAAACUUUGAAUGCACAACAUUACUGAGCAGCACUGAACUUCAUACCAAGUGCCUAGGAGACCCUGGGAGAAGAGAGACAGAAAUCGAGCAGAAGAGAGAUGCCUUUUUGCAUCUUAUUUUGUUCACUUAUGAGGGAUCCUCAUUGCCAUCCUGCUUACCUGUAGGGUUGCUCAGCCUCCUCUGCAGGCUGUGUAGGAUAUAUGGGCUCCUACUUACAUAAAGGGAGGGGUUGGCCAUGGCUGGCUGCCAGGUGUCCGCUAGAGCCACUACAUCGCUCCUCCUCUGCAGCUGGGCAGGGGAGAGAGAAUAUAAC